Molecule: ribosomal RNA, 468 nt
Filed under: uncultured bacterium
Lineage: Bacteria
Description: partial 16S ribosomal RNA
Rfam family: Bacterial small subunit ribosomal RNA
Source: RNAcentral
GACGAACGCUGGCGGCGUGCUUAACACAUGCAAGUCGAACGGAAAGGCCCUGCUUUUGUGGGGUGCUCGAGUGGCGAACGGGUGAGUAACACGUGAGUAACCUGCCCUUGACUUUGGGAUAACUUCAGGAAACUGGGGCUAAUACCGGAUAGGAGCUCCUGCUUCAUGGUGGGGGUUGGAAAGUUUCGGCGGUUGGGGAUGGACUCGCGGCUUAUCAGCUUGUUGGUGGGGUAGUGGCUUACCAAGGCUUGGACGGGUAGCCGGCCUGAGAGGGUGACCGGACACGUUGGGACUGGAAUGCGGCCCAGACUCGUACGGGAGGCAGCAGUGGGGAAUAUUGCACAAUGGGCGGAAGCCUGAUGCGGCAACGCCGCGUGCGGGAUGACGGCCUUCGGGUUGUAAACCGCUUUCGCCUGUGACGAAGCGUGAGUGACGGUAAUGGGUAAAGAAGCACCGGCUAACUACGUG